This 542-nucleotide ribosomal RNA is filed under the name uncultured archaeon. RNAcentral describes it as "bacterial SSU rRNA". It matches the Rfam family "Archaeal small subunit ribosomal RNA", at positions 457 to 997 of the family's 1478-position model. The record is from RNAcentral.
GGCAGCCGCCGCGGGAACACCGGCGGCCCGAGUGGUGAUCGUGAUUAUUGGGUCUAAAGGGUCCGUAGCCGGUUUGGUCAGUCCUCCGGGAAAUCUGAUAGCUCAACUAUUAGGCUUUCGGGGGAUACUGCCAGACUUGGAACCGGGAGAGGUAAGAGGUACUACAGGGGUAGGAGUGAAAUCUUGUAAUCCCUGUGGGACCACCUGUGGCGAAGGCGUCUUACCAGAACGGGUUCGACGGUGAGGGACGAAAGCUGGGGGCACGAACCGGAUUAGAUACCCGGGUAGUCCCAGCCGUAAACGAUGCUCGCUAGGUGUCAGGCAUGGCGCGACCGUGUCUGGUGCCGCAGGGAAGCCGUGAAGCGAGCCACCUGGGAAGUACGGCCGCAAGGCUGAAACUUAAAGGAAUUGGCGGGGGAGCACAACAACGGGUGGAGCCCUGCGGUUUAAUUGGACUCAACGCCGGACAACUCACCGGGGGCGACAGCAAUAUGUAGGCCAAGCUGAAGACUUUGCCUGAAUCGCUGAGAAGAGGUGCAUGG